CUUCGGUCACCGUGUGUGCCCUGACCCCACGUGGAGCUGGUGGCUUUUCUCUGCUGGUUUGCUGGUGACAUCUUUAAGUCUGAGGAGGGACCUUCUGAUGUCAGAGUUGGGACUUAACCAGGACACAUGUUUUUGACCCAAUCUGGAUUUCAUCACAGUCAGAGGUGACUUCUGAUCCUUCUCUGGUGAACGACGUUCCUUGGGCAGAAGCCAAGGGUCUCGGAGCUAAUGCAUGGCAGAGCUGGGACUGGAAGUCUGGUCUACC
This is a long non-coding RNA of Lemur catta (Ring-tailed lemur), 265 nucleotides long. RefSeq lists it as uncharacterized. NCBI's taxonomy places the organism in Eukaryota, Metazoa, Chordata, Mammalia, Primates, Lemuridae. The record is from RefSeq and is a predicted model, not a curated record. The transcript is spliced from 3 exons.